This 69-nucleotide transfer RNA is filed under the name Cryptocephalus bipunctatus. RNAcentral's name for it is "tRNA-Gln". Lineage: Eukaryota; Metazoa; Arthropoda; Insecta; Coleoptera; Chrysomelidae. The record is from RNAcentral.
UACGCUUUAGUAUAAGAUGUAUGAGAAUUUUUGGUAUUCUAGGAAGUAGUUUAAUUCUACUUGGCGUAA